CAUUCUGGCUGCUGAACUGAAAAGAGACUCUAAGGAGGCAAGUGUAGAAGCAGAAAGAACUGUUGGGAGGCUGCUGCAUUAAUCCAGGUUGCAGUACAAGUUUGGGAAAGCUGCGAGCUGUAAAAUGAUCUGCCCAGAGGGGAAGAGUCAACCUAAGCUAACAUCUGUUGCUAAUCUUCCUCCUUUUUUUUCUUCUUUUCCCCCCCAAAGCCCCACUACAUAGUUGUGUAGAGUUGUAAGUUCUUCUGGUUCUUCUAUGUGAGCCACCUCUACAGUAAGGCAACUGACUGACGAGUGGUGUGGUUCCACGCCCGGGAACCGAACCUGGGCCUCCGAAGCAGAGUGCGCUGAACUUGAAAGA
Diceros bicornis minor is the source of this 361-nucleotide long non-coding RNA. RefSeq lists it as uncharacterized. The transcript has 3 exons. NCBI's taxonomy places the organism in Eukaryota, Metazoa, Chordata, Mammalia, Perissodactyla, Rhinocerotidae. The record is from RefSeq and is a predicted model, not a curated record.